CGACCGCGUGGGAUGCGCUAACAUGCACGCCACUGCGAACGGUGUGACUGACGAGGACCUGGAUGAGCUUAAGGGAUCCAUGGAGCUUGGCUUCGGGUUCAACGAGGAGAACGGAGGCCAGAACCUUUGUGACACGCUCCCUGCCCUCGAUCUGUAUUUCGCCGUCAACCGACAGCUAUCUGAGCCAAAGAUGCGGGUGUGCAGCCGCUCAUUGCCUUCCCUUUCUGUGGUGACCUCCUCAUCAUCCAUGCACUCCGGCACACCGAGCCCGGCCGGCAGUCCUACCGCUCAGCCCUCCCUCCUUGACUCAUUGAAAAUUAGCAGUCCAGGUCAGUAACGUUGUAUGUUUCCUUGUUAAUUUCUUCCUAGUAUAGAUUAUAAAAGAACCACCAGCUUAUGUUAUUAUGUGGUCGGCUAUUUGGUCCUUUGACUCAUGCAGCAGGCGAGAACCCGCAGCUUAUCAAGACAAGGCUAAGGCAGUGGGCUCAGGUAGUGGCUUGUUCAGUGAAGCACUCCAGCUGAGAGCGCUGGUUGCAAUGAACCACCCAUCCUGCAGAACCGUUGUACAUCCAAGUGUUCCAUUAGACGACGAGGGAGAGGACAUGACCUGUGGUGCAAUUAACACAACGUCGUAACCUUGUUGCUCUGGUGACGCCCAUGGUUGUUGUGCAUAGUUUAGUCUGUAUGUAUGUGUUGGCAACAUUAAUGCACCGCCCCCUGUAUUGACAGGACAACAUUUGAUGCAAGGACAUUCUUCUUGUUCACCAACUUCUUUAGAAACACUAACUCUUGCUGAAACAUUUCCAUAAAAAACUAGGCAUGCACACUGGCAAGAUAUAUUCGACUAAAACACACUCAUCCAAGGAGACAAAUAUCCUCCAAAAACCAUCACUAACUGUUUUGUACAGAUUGUAGGGGAGAAAAGUUGGGCCGAUAAAAUUUUGGUUUUGAAUCAGAGAUUUUAGAUGGGCAUAUGUAAUACAACACUGAAUGUCUGAAAUUAAAUUGGGCGUUCCAAUACAGUACUUGCACCUCUGACUGCUGAAGAUGUUCGUUAAAUAUGCAUACGCUGUGUGAAUUACUUGUCCACGACACAAGUUAAAUGAUGUUAUCAUC
RNAcentral lists this long non-coding RNA (1116 nucleotides) under Triticum aestivum (bread wheat). RNAcentral describes it as "long non-coding RNA (TAES_LNC022536)". The record is from RNAcentral. Lineage: Eukaryota; Viridiplantae; Streptophyta; Magnoliopsida; Poales; Poaceae.